RNAcentral lists this ribosomal RNA (253 nucleotides) under uncultured bacterium. Its description in RNAcentral is "partial 16S ribosomal RNA". It matches the Rfam family "Bacterial small subunit ribosomal RNA", at positions 524 to 776 of the family's 1533-position model. The record is from RNAcentral.
UACAGAGGUCUCGAGCGUUGUUCGGAUUCAUUGGGCGUAAAGGGUGCGUAGGUGGCUUGGUCAGUCGGAUGUGAAAUCCCGGGGCUCAACCCCGGAACUGCAUUCGAUACUGCCAGGCUGGAGUACUGGAGAGGAGAUUGGAAUUUACGGUGUAGCAGUGAAAUUCGUAGAUAUUCGCAAGAACACCAGUGGCGAAGGCGGCUCACUGGCCCGGUACUGACGCUGAGGUGCGAAAGCGUGGGGAGCAAACAGG